GACAGAGGCCACAAGCGUUAGGCGGAAUCACUGGGCUUAAAGCGUGUGUAGGCGGACCGUUAAGUGCCUUGUGAAAUCCCCCGGCUCAACCGGGGAACGGCUGGGCAGACUGGCGGUCUUGAGCUGCCUAGGGGCGACUGGAACAAACGGUGGAGCGGUGAAAUGCGUAGAUAUCGUUUGGAACGCCAACGGUGAAAACAGGUCGCUGGGGGCAAGCUGACGCUGAGACACGAAAGCCAGGGGAGCAAACGGG
This 253-nucleotide ribosomal RNA is filed under the name uncultured bacterium. Its description in RNAcentral is "partial 16S ribosomal RNA". It matches the Rfam family "Bacterial small subunit ribosomal RNA", at positions 524 to 776 of the family's 1533-position model. The record is from RNAcentral.